Molecule: long non-coding RNA, 3283 nt
Filed under: Ficedula albicollis (Collared flycatcher)
Lineage: Eukaryota; Metazoa; Chordata; Aves; Passeriformes; Muscicapidae
Description: lncRNA (ENSFALG00000026874.1)
Source: RNAcentral
UCCCGGUUGCUGCAAUGUUGGCUGAAGCGGAGCGCUGGAGGAGGGAGGACCGAGGCGGGGCAAGACUUGCGCUGCUCCACCUGGAACUGGGAAGGAGGGUGCUGUUGCUGGGGACAACGGGCUGUUGGUAACGGGGUUCGCUUCGUGCAGAAGGGAGGCGGUGGGCGGCGGGGGCCGGGCCGGAGCGCUCGGGAGCACGGUGGGGUCGUGCAGCCAGGGAAGCAGGCGGAGCCGAUCCCGGCCGAGGCUCUCCCCCACCUGCCCCGGCUCUGCACGGAAAGGCAGGGGGCGAGGCGGGGCGGUGCAGCCAGGGAAGCGGGGGGAGCGGUUCCCAGCCGGGGCUCUCCCUCACCUGCCCCCGGCUCUGCAGGGAAAAGCAGGGGGCUCUUCGCCCCCCGCCGGCACUGUCUCUUUCUGCUGCUCGCCGCUCGCCGUGGCCGAGGACGGGGAAUGGGAGCGGGAAGCCGCGGCGGUUGCCGAGGUUAUGCCAUUGGCCUUUUAAGAGAACCAGCUGCCUCACUGCUCCAGUACCAGGGAUUGGAGAAGUGCAUGCUCCACCUGGCUCUGAAUAACUACUGUUUCUGGAAAGCCUGGAGCAGUCUCGGUGCCUAUAGAAACCAGACCAGAUGUGCUCUCCCGGGAGCAUGGGGAGCCAGAUGCUGCAAACAGAUGGGCUGUCUUGUCUCCACGGUGAAUAGUGACAGAAACCUUGUCUGAUCAUGAACGCUUGGGCAACUGCAACCUUGGUGCUGCAAUCUUAGAGCUGAGUGACUAGAAGUCCUUCCUGCAUUCAAUACAUUGAUUAAAUUUACUAAGAUAUAAAUAUCAUCUAUUGCUUACCAAUUAAAUUAUAGUUUGGAUUAUGUUAUUAAGGGAUCUGAAUUAACAUUCUUCUGGAUGUAAGAGAAGCAUGUUUUUGCAGGCAAUAGUUAAAAGCUCCUAUCCCUUUCUUCCAUCUAAAUAAAUUUGAUUAAAUUUUUCUGUAAUGAAGUUUUUUAGCACUCAUAUUGUUUUUUGAGACCCCUUAAAAAUUGUCCAGGCCAUGGCUUUCAUCCAAAUGUAUGUAACUGUCAGUCUUGAGAUACCUCACUCACAAUCCAGCCUUUGCUGUUAAAUUUGUAUUGGCUUUAACAUGCUUUGAAAUAAUAAUCAGUGCUGUCUCCAGGGGGAUAGGACAAUAUGUAAUUGGCUUAAACAGAAGGAAGAUCUCGUUAGACAUUAAGAAGCCUUUACUAAUGGUACAGUAAUUAAGCACAGGAAUAAAUGGCUUGAAGCCUUCUGCCUGUACAGAAGUUUGGAUGAACACACUGAAUCUUGUCUUUUUCCACAAGGAAAGCAGAGAUCAUUCUUUGCAGUUUCUUUCAACUUUGUUUUCAAUGGUUCUGCAUAUGUCCACAAAGUUUUCUUGCCAGAAGUGGUAAUAGCAGCAUUUUCAUUUCCACCGCAUUGUCAUUGAAAAUGCUGCCCCAUCACUGCCUCAGCGGAAGAACAAGCUGAAAUAACAGAAUGUCAAUGAGAGCAUCCUUUCCUUCCAAGCUGGCGGGAGCAAGCCAUUCUGGAAGGUGAUGUACAUCUCCCAUAACUCAUGCUCCAGCUUCCUUGGUCAAGCCAAAUUGUCUUCCCUGCUUGUCAAAUGGGAGAACUGUUAACACUGUAAUUAGAAACAUUAAAGCAAUCAAAAUGAGCAUACAGGCAUAAUUAAGGCAUUAUUGGUUUAUGUCUCCUUCAGGCAUUCUUUUAGAAUAAAUGACUUUUUGGUUUAAUUUAAGCCUCUUCCAAAACAUCACUAAAACAAAGGGGCAAAGGACAUUCUAUCCAUAUAUUCACCAGUAAAACUACUUAGUUUUCAAUCUCAUAACCUAGUUUAUACUGGUAAAAUUUCCCUGUACUGACCAAAUCUAGAGGAUAUUGCUGAAUAAAGAGCUUAGCUUGAAAAGAAUAAGUUGAGUCUGGACAACAAGAAUUAAAGAGGAGCGAGAGAAACUUCACUGGCUCUGGAUGAAGCCCUUCAUAAAAGAAGAAUUAGCUGUGCUAUGCCAGUGUGUUAUGAAAGUGCCAUUUUUUCUGAGAAGGGAAGGUAUGCAGAAUAAUGAACAAGGCUGGAAGAGUUUUUUCCAACCUGGGUGGGUGAAAAAAGGAGAAAUUAGUAUCAGGAACAUCUAGUGAGUAUGGAGGAGUUGCAACUCUUCUGUUCCUCUGUAGGACUGCAGUGGUGUUGCACAAUGAAAGAGGUUGAGCCCCACUCACAGUGCUCACUGGGUUAAGCCUUGGAGAAGUAGAUGUUCAGCUCCGACUUGCUGAGGCUGAGCUGUCUGCAGAAAGUAGCCACAGCCUGUCUGAUUGAGAAAGAUGGGCCAAGCACCAUGUGUGCAUGUAUAUGUGGCAUGGUUUGGGUGCUGACAAGCACAAUUGCCACCCAUUAGAAAGGUUCUGCCUCUUGGUUUCUUGUUCUGACAUAGGAAUACUUCUUGUGAGCAUGGUACUUGCAAUGGCCAGUUCAGCCCAAGAAAAGGGGCUCAGAGUUACCCAGGAGUCAAGGCAGAAUUGCUUGCACACAGUGGCAUAGUAUAGAAUGGGAAUAUGCACAUCCAAAUAUGUGAAUGUUUUCUGCCUUGGCUGCCUUCAGCUCACAGGAAGGUUGAGCAACUGGAGAACUGGCAUGUGACUUUGAGGUUGAUGUUAAUCUUCCCACUGGUGGGAGGUUACAGUGUCUACUGAGUAUUUCUAAUGGUCUGGGAAGAAUAUUCAAAUUUGACCAUCUCUGCAGGGAUUUGAUCCUGCAAUAUGUUCUCAGAAAUGUCUUCCUUGUGUCCGGUCUUCCCUGUUUUAAUGAACUUCGGAUCUUUGAUUUAUCCUCUGAUGAGAUCCCAUGCAAACUCUCAGUCUGUCUGGUAUAGGUGAGAAACGUAACAGAACCAGCUAAUGGUGGUGCAGAUGGAAGGACAUGGCCACUUUCUUUGAGGACCUGUCUUCCUGGCAGGGUUAACAAGACCUGUGUUAGCACUGUGGGGUCAUUGUCCCACUCAUGGCUAUUCCAGACUCAGCCGUUUGGUCAUGAGCCAGAAGAGUGACAGCUCUACAGUUGGCAUCUCCCACCACUGGUUACUGGACUUGGCUGCUGUGAGCUGCAGGCUAAACUCAUCAUGUGUUCCUUCAUGCAGGUAACAUGACAAGCAACAGGUACUGCAGUUGCACUGCCCUCACAGGUAUGAAGUGCCAUCCAUCAGGAUCUGAAUGUUCCUGUGCUGGACAGCUGAGAAGAGGUGGCAGUAAAAGCCACAGG